GAACGCUAGCGGCAGGCUUAAUACAUGCAAGUCGAACGGAUCAUAGCAAUAUGGUUAGUGGCGCACGGGUGCGUAACGCGUACACAACAUACCUUUUAGUUUGGGAUAGCCUUGGGAAACUGGGUGUAAUACCGAAUAACAUUGCGAGGAAGCAUUUCUUUGUGAUUAAAGCUACGGCGCUAGAAGAUUGGUGUGCGUAGGAUUAGGUAGUUGGUGAGGUAACGGCUCACCAAGCCGACGAUCCUUAGGGGGCGUGAGAGCGUGAACCCCCACACGGGUACUGAGACACGGACCCGACUCCUACGGGAGGCAGCAGUAGGGAAUAUUGGACAAUGGGCGGAAGCCUGAUCCAGCCAUGCCGCGUGAAUGAAGAAGGC
This 377-nucleotide ribosomal RNA is filed under the name uncultured bacterium. RNAcentral's name for it is "bacterial SSU rRNA". It matches the Rfam family "Bacterial small subunit ribosomal RNA", at positions 31 to 415 of the family's 1533-position model. The record is from RNAcentral.